Molecule: long non-coding RNA, 5130 nt
Organism: Anthonomus grandis grandis
Lineage: Eukaryota; Metazoa; Arthropoda; Insecta; Coleoptera; Curculionidae
Exons: 2
Source: RefSeq, a predicted model, not a curated record
UUAACUAAAUACUAACAAUAUUAUUUGACAAUAGUUUUUUUAAAUGACGAGGAGACAUGUGAAAGAGAUCGACAUCCAGAUUCAAAUGGACUAAGUUAAACGAAGAGCAUGAGUAUAAAGGCUCUUUUUUUGCUAAAUGUGUACUACAUGUUUGUAAGUAAAAAUGUUUUAUCUUCUAGUAUUAAUGUAAGGCCGAACAAAGUAUAGAGCUGCUGGCAAGUCCAAGCAGUUAAUACGACCAUUACAUAAUUUGAAAAGAAAAAGCAAACCAACACAAAUAAUUUCCUGAUGAAGGGAAAGCAUAUGAGUGCUGAUCGUAUCCUUGUUCAGGGUAAACUUUAUUUAAUUUAAAAAUCAGUUUUAAAAGCGAUAUGUUUCAGAAAUGUACGUUGAACAAAUUCAAGUCUAACACUGUGAACAGUAUAGUGUGUAUACCAGAUUCUACUUCAUAUAUUAGUGAAGUCUGAUGUCGCUCUUAUAAUAAAACCAAGAGCUUGUAAAGAUGACUAUGAUGUUAUCUAUAUUGCAAAAAUUAAGCUUCUUGUCAAUAGUGAUAUCCAAAUCACGAACAUAAUCACAGUUAGAAAGAAUUGUACCAUUUAAUGUAUGGUACAAUUCUUUCAAAAUGUAUAUUCGAAGCUAAUUUCAUUUUUCAGCAAAGAAAUUGAAAUUUUUACACUUUUCAAUAUUAAAAGGAAGCCUAAUAAUCUUACACCUAGAUUAAAUUAAGAUCGCCUUGGAGAAGCAAACAGUUUUCUCAAAUAGUUAUAAUGCGAAAUAUCUUUAGGUUGACAGCAAACAAAAGGCAAUUGCCUAAAGGUUUAACAGAGAUGUCAUUGAUAAAAAUGGAAAACAAAAGAGGAGCAAGAUUGCUACCCUCAGUAGGACCGCUAUCUGCUUUAUAAACAUAUGAUCUAAACCUAUUAUAUUCUACAAACUGGUGUCUAUCUGCCAGAUAGGAGGCAAGAAAUUCUACAAGAUUAGAAUGAAAACGAAGCCUGUUUUGACGGAGAUAUCACUUGGCUAGUAAUAUCGUUGAUACUCCGUAGUCAACGAUAAAAUCCGUCAAAAAUAUGUGAAGCUUUUUUUACAAUAUUUAAUGUUAACUUAUUUUUAGUAGUUUCAAUAAAGUUUUUUAUACAUUUACUCCAUUUUGUGCUAGGUAAUAACGCAUAGUUAUAUAUUUCCUGUCUAUAUCAUAAAUAUUUUUCUAAUAAUUAAACUGAACAAAAAAUAUUUUAAAAAUUUGCUAAUACAGGAAAGUAAAAAAUCAUACUCGACUAUCAAAAAAUAGGAAAGGUUGGAUAUAAAGAGCUACUAUCUACAAAAAAAGAUGUACAUCAAAGUUUAAAUUUACUUUAUAAAACUUAUAAUUUAAGCGCCUUUAAAGUGAUUUCAUAUUUAAUAAAGAUGAAAUUUCCUUUUUUACUUUUUUUACUGGAUUCAGCCUCUAAAGCAGCAAAUGCCUGCACAACCAAGUAAAUUUUUACACAAAAUUAUCGACGUACGCAAAAUAUAUGAUUAUUAUUACCGUUAGCUAUGUUUUUAAAUUUUUUUAUUAAUUAUUAAUUAAUUGAUAGAGAUAUAAUAGAAAACAUUUUCAAAAAUUGUGAAAACAAAAUUGUUACUGUCCAAAAACAAUAACCUCAAAAAAACCUGUUUAUUCCUAAUAAGCUACACCACCGUCUCUCGCUAGUACGAUGUGCUCGAGAAAAUCUUUACGUUGCGUCGGCCGGCCCCAGAACGGUCGGAAAGAGAAAAUCAUGAAAUGUGUAAAGGCGGGUCGCUCCGGACACCUGUUAGAAAUCCCUGUCUAUUGGUGCCUACCACAGAUGUAAAUACUGUAAAUUUAUAUAUGUAAAUAUAGAUGUAAAUUUAUAUUUACAUCUGUGGGUGCCUACACACACAGAACACAAAUAUAUAGCCUACACACUUACCGGCGGCCUGAUUAUUCGAUAUGACUGAUUCUAAAUAAAAUGUUCAGUCGUGAGUGUCUUGCGGAUUGCCUAGUUUUUAACGAUUUGUCGACGACACGCUUGGGUAUAUCGUAUACACCAGACGAUAUAGCUUCUUCCUUUUUUAAUACGUGCAUAAUGUAACAGCAUCCUUUUUUAAACGUAUUUGUUUCAUUUAUUGUUUAUCCAUAGUUAUACCAGGUUUUCAUUAGUAUAUUAAAAGCUUUCUUAAACACAACAACUAAUAGAUUUAAUUCUACCCUAUUUUUCACAACCUUUUGUUAAUAAUAGGCAGAGGAAGUAGAGUUACCAUUGAAUGGGCUGUUUUGGUAUGUUAAGAUUUUAUGCCACAGAUUGUUACCAAAGAAGCAUUUGAGAAGAUUUUAAAUUUGGAAUUAGCGAAACUACAAGUCGUUGGAUCCAUAAAAUUACUGAAAUUAUUGACAAUCACCUUGCUGACCAAUUCAUUAAUUUUUCAAAUAUAAGAGAUGAGAGACAAAUUAAUAAAUUAACAUUUAUAGAGAGAUCCAAUUUUUCUUGUGUUAAGCCGCGUCCAGAUCUGUACCACGUCGCGCAACCGUACCACGUCGCGUACCACGAUGCGAGCAGAAAACCCACGUUCACGUACGCCGUACCGAACAACGCUUCGCACCUCGCAUUGCAACCGUUUGUGCGAUCCAUUUUACUGAUAUUUUAAUUUUUGUCAGUGGUUAAUUUAGCGUUCAGAAUCGAUGUUGCUGCUGCUCUCCCUUCGAAAUGAGGAAAGCAAAUUAGUUAUCUUCUUUUUAAUUUCAUCCACCGUUGUAUUCCAUAAACAUUCAUGAUGCCUAUAGAACGCAAUUAAAGAGAUAUACGCUGGUCAGUCCACUCCAUGACACCUGCCGAUAGCCAAAAUAAAACUAAAAUAAAGAAUCGUGUCGUACGGUUUCGUCGUUCGUUUCCCGUCCAGACUUGCUUGGCAUCGUCGCGUACCAAUCCUUUGGUGUUUCGUCAGAAAACCGACUCGCCCUGGAUCGCGACGAGCGCCGAGCUGCAACAUUUUUUAAGUUCGCGACGGCGUUCGUUUCGACGUCCAAAUGGGUCGCGACGUGGUACAGAUCUGGACGCGGCUUUAUAGGUAGGUCCUAUUGAUUUCACCCAUGUUGCCAUAUUAAAGCCAAAAGUGGAUGAACACAACAAGUUUUUGUGAUUUUCCAUGAAUUAAAUUAUUAUUUUCCUAUGGGUAGCGGUGGUUUUAAACCACUUUUUUUAUUUUAAAGAAAUAAUAUGGGCAUAUAUUUAAAUAAAAACACACGGAGGCGAAAAAAAUUAACAGAAUAAAUUCUUAGUGUUUACCAAUAAAAAAGACAAUUGAUGUUUGCAUCUGUCAAAUAUUAGGGAAAAUAACAAAUAUAUACCAAGAAACCUAAAUCAAAUUGAAUAAAACGAGUUUAGCCGACGAUUGAAAUUUAGAAUCACCUUUCUCGUUACGACUGAGUCGCGAUCGAAUUCGAAGUCGUGAUCGUAUCGAGAUCGAGUCAUGAUUUUAGAAUCCCAGCCCUAGUUGCGGCCUGUCGUAUUUUUUAACACACACUAAAAUUAUCAUCGCCAACACAGCUGUUUGACGCUAUUGCUAUAUUAUAUUACUUUUCAAAGUGCGCGAGUGUCUUUGUAUUAAGAUGUUUUUUACCAAACGAAAGUUCUUUAGUAUCUUUUUAAAGCUCUUAUUUUGUUGACUGACAUUAAGCCUAAAAAUAUGAGGCAUGUAUGGGUGAAGGAGUGGCUUUUAAAAAGAGGGGAACUAUCACAUAUAAAUUUAAUUCGGAUUUUAAGAAGGUCCUGUUCGGAAGAUUUUAAAAACUAUUUAAGAAUGAUUGAUGCAUGUUACCAGCAGUUGCUUAAGCUCGUCAAACCAUACAUUAAAAAAAAAUAUACUAAAAUGAGACAGGCUAUUAGCGCUGAAGAAAGACUAAUAGUUACCUUAAGAUAUCUGGCCACUGGUCGUACAUUGGAAGAUUUAAAAUUCUCAGCCAUUAUUUCUUCUCAAGCUUUAGGUCUAAUAAUUCCGGAAACAUGCAAAGCUAUGCCAAGGCAGUGUAUCCUUAAAGAAGACAUUCUUAAAGAUGCCAAAGACUCAAGAAGACUGGCAAGAAAUAGCAAAACAUAUAGAAAACAGAUGGAAUUUUCCUAACUGUGGCGGUUCUCUAGACAGAAAACACAUAAGAAUAACCAAGUCAUCCAAUAGUGGAUCGUACUAGUACGACUAUAAAAACUAUUUUAGUGUCGUUUUAAUCACCUUGGUGAACGCAGAUUACGAGUUUCUAUGCGUGAAUGUUGGAUGAAAUGGACGAAAUUCCGAUGCAGGAGUUAUUGAAUCUACACAAUUUUUUGACAAACUUAAAUAAAAUAAAUUAAAAUCACACAAAGAAGAAUAUGAACUUUGUUUUUGUUUCUGAUGAUGCCUUCGCUUUACAUCCAAAUGUAUUAAAACCUUACAGUGACAAGAACUUAAUACAUGAAGAGCGUAUAUUUAAUUAUAGAUUAUCCCGCGUCAGGCGAACUGUUGAAAAUGCCUUUGGAAUUUUGGCUAAUAGAUUUAGGGUAUUUCAUACACCAAUAAAUAUGAAAGUUGAGAAAAUUAUAUUGAUUGUCUUGGCUGCGUGUGCCUUACACAAUUUUCUUAGGCGGAACAAUGGUGGCUAUUAUAUUCCUAAGAACACCGUAGACUCUGAAGAUCUUGAAGGCGGUACAAUCAAUAAGGGCUCAUGGAGAACAGAUGCUACAACCUUAGAUGGACUAAAAGGUUGCAAAACGCGAAAUUUUUCAAAAGAAGCGAAGGAAAACCGUGAGUCAUAUAAGAACUACUUUAUGGGGGAUGAAAAAGUAUCUUGGCGAAAUAAUCUUAUAUAGUUAUCAUUAUAUUUUUUAUUUUAUGUAUUAAAAUGUAUGUCUUUGAUUUUUAAAACAAUAUUGGCAGGCUAAGUUUUGAUAAAUGUUCCGAAAGAUUUGACAAACAACAUACUUAGAAUCGUAAGAAAUCCCAUGAGAGUAAUGAGAAAAAUGUUUUUAAAAAUCGGCCAACUUUGUUGUUCAGCGGUCCAUGUGGCGUUUAUAGUGGAAAAAGUUAAAAUUAGGGUUGUGUUUUAUUUUGUGUCUGUGCAUUAGGCAAAAUACCAGGUGCGAAACUAUUUUUUUU